RNAcentral lists this ribosomal RNA (109 nucleotides) under Propithecus coquereli (Coquerel's sifaka). Lineage: Eukaryota; Metazoa; Chordata; Mammalia; Primates; Indriidae. The record is from RNAcentral.
GUCUAUGGCCAUACCACCCUGAAUGCGCCCAAUCUUGUCUGAUCUCGGAAGUCAAGUAGGGUCAGGCCUGGUUAGUACUUGGAUGGGAGAUAGCCGGUAGAAGUGUGCC